UACGUAGGGUCCGAGCGUUGUCCGGAAUUAUUGGGCGUAAAGAGCUCGUAGGCGGUUUGUCGCGUCUGCUGUGAAAUCCCGAGGCUCAACCUCGGGUCUGCAGUGGGUACGGGCAGACUGGAGUGCGGUAGGGGAGAAUGGAAUUCCUGGUGUAGCGGUGGAAUGCGCAGAUAUCGGGAGGAACACCGAUGGCGAAGGCAGUUCUCUGGGCCGUAACUGACGCUGAGGAGCGAAAGCGUGGGGAGCGAACAGG
Molecule: ribosomal RNA, 253 nt
Filed under: uncultured bacterium
Lineage: Bacteria
Description: partial 16S ribosomal RNA
Rfam family: Bacterial small subunit ribosomal RNA
Source: RNAcentral